This is a long non-coding RNA of Anguilla rostrata (American eel), 1524 nucleotides long. RefSeq lists it as uncharacterized. The record is from RefSeq and is a predicted model, not a curated record. NCBI's taxonomy places the organism in Eukaryota, Metazoa, Chordata, Actinopteri, Anguilliformes, Anguillidae. The transcript is spliced from 2 exons.
CGCGCAGAGGGAAAUUACACGGAAAGGAAAACAAGACCUCCAGUAACACGCGGGUCCCGGUGUCACCGAGCGACGUCAUCGAGAGAGAGAGCGGAGGGAUUUAUGGCAUAGUAAAAUGGUGACCCUCGAUGGCUACAGAUGUUCUCACCAAAACAACGGCAGAGAAACUGGAGAUCCAGGUCUAGCCGGGAGUACACCCGGCAGAGCAGCCCGUCUUCACCUCCAUCUUUGUUAAUCGCGUUAGAGAGCCUUUGAUCCGACCCUUCCCAUCCCGCCACGGAGACCCACCGCCCGCAGAGGAGGGAAGUUCUUGGACGGCUGUGGCGCAGGGCCUGAUUAAAAUCGAGCACAGAACAGUGCGAGCAUCAGCCUAUGGAUUCCUUCCUUCUUCCUUCCUCCACCCUCGUCAUCACAUGACAGCCGUUUGAUGUCUUUGGCAGGAACAGACACAAGUCAGAAGAUCGGGCUUUGAUGUGCUCUAUUUCAAUUAACAGCCUCUCUCUCUUUUUUCCCCAAUCCAAAAAAAAACUUAGCUUUGUGUGUUCCUGUGGGGUGCUGCUCAACGUGAAUGCGUUUCGGUUGCCUGUCCAUGCAGCCCAGGCACUUGGAUUUCAGGAGAGCCAGCUCAAAAACCUGGACAUCACAGAGCAAUGGAAAGCUGUCUCCCUCCUCUUGACCUCUGACCCAGGUCGUGCUCCUCAAAGAUAAUCACAGAGAUGGACCUGCAUUCCACCCACCACUGCAGACCAGCGUUACAGCAUACAGAACACAGAGUUCCCUCGGUGUAUUCUUAAACAUGCAGACACCUACAGACGUUCUCAUCAUUGGUAUUUCCGAUUUGCUGAAGCAAAACGAAAACAUUUCACCCAAUACAAAUAAAAAAGGUUAAUCAUUCUCAACUUGCUUUUGGUAUUUUAGUGUAUACACAAACAGUGAAUUUUAAAGCACGUAAACAUGCCACCUUUCCUUUCAUUAUUGUUCAAUGGGGAUUAAUGCAAUAGGAAAAACAUUUGUUCAUCCCAAAUGUAAAUGCAGCGUUACUAUAAGAGACAACUUAUCAGGCUCUCAGGUGAACAUUGACCAGGGGAAGGAAACAUUGGUAUGAAAAAAGGUGUUAAACUGGUGUACAGAAGAACAUAUCUCUCCUGCAUACACACACAAACAAUGCACAGGCAGUGAGACAGACAAACAGACACACAAAUAAAUUACACAUUACAUAGAAUAUGUACACAGACACACAUGCACAGACAGAAAGACACACAGACACACACACACACACACACACACACAUCUCCACAGAAUGUAAAUGAGGAAUGUGGCUUUCUGAGACAUUGUAUCUUCUCUGCACAUAAACACUGACACACAGACAUACAGAGACAGACACACACACACACACACACACACAAUUCCACAGCCUUUCAUCGCAGCCUGGUAAAUCCCUAUGCGCAACACUGUGGCACCUGGCUAAAUUAAACCUGAGCCCAACUGUUUACCCAUCUAAUAAAACAAAAAAAGGAGUUCUGA